This 1108-nucleotide unclassified non-coding RNA is filed under the name Hevea brasiliensis (rubber tree). Lineage: Eukaryota; Viridiplantae; Streptophyta; Magnoliopsida; Malpighiales; Euphorbiaceae. The record is from RNAcentral.
CAGGAGGAAUUGUUCAUGCUCUGCGUAUGCAAGCAUAGCUAUUCCUGAGAAAGGGACUGGUUGCUUGGCAUGGUAUGGUGAAUUAAUGGAUACAAUGGUUGAUAUGGAAGCAGGAUAUAAUAUUUAUGUUCGUGUUGAUGCGCUUGAAUUAGGUAAUGUUCUCUCGCUUCUAACUUUUAUUUUUUCAAUUUUUUAACUUACAACUUGUUGGAAUAAUAUGACAUUAUUUUUCCCACUACCACAGCUGAAAUCACACAAAAAUCAAGUGAUUCUCUGGAGAGGAAAUAUAAUUGGGCUAUUUUUGUAGCAUCUGUGGUUUCAUCCUGGUUUAUAAUCAUCUUAUUUUCAUAUUUGUGGUUCAAGAAGAAGGGAAAAAGGGGUAAGAAAUGAGAUUCAAUAUGUUGAUUUGUGCCUUUCCAUCUGUACUUAUACUGCUGAAUUGUUUGAUGAAGGAAUAGCUUUUGUUCCAUAAGAAAUUUAGAGUAGGCAUUUUGUUUCAUUUUUUUAUUCUUUUUUGAGGACAGCGAGGAACAAAUGGAAUGAAAGAUUGCUUCAUACAAUCACUGAAGCAUACCCCAACGAUACCUUGGUGGCAAAUGAAGGUAGAAUGAGUCAUCCAGAAAUAACAAUUUUCAAUCUCAGCACAAUACUUGCUGCGACGAACAAUUUCUCUCCAACCAGAAGACUUGGACAAGGCGGUUUUGGCUUGGUUUAUAAGGGUCAACUAUCAAACGGACAAGAGGUGGCUGUGAAAAGACUAUCUAAAAAUUCAGGACAAGGAAUAGAAGAAUUCAAAAAUGAAGUUAUGUUGAUCGCAAAACUUCAGCACAAGAAUCUGGUGAAGCUCAUAGGAUGCUGCAUUCAGGGAGAAGAACCAAUGCUAGUUUAUGAAUACUUGCCAAACAAAAGCUUGGACUCAUUUCUUUUUGAUGAAACAAAAAGGGCAAUUCUAGAUUGGAGAAAACGGUUUGAUAUUAUUGUUGGAAUUGCUCGCGGGAUCUUAUAUAUUCACCAAGAUUCAAGGUUAAGUAUUAUCCAUAGAGAUUUAAAAACAAGCAACAUUCUAUUGGAUGCAGAAAUGAACCCAAAAAUUUCAGAUUUUGGCAUG